AUCGGGGACUGACAUUAGAUACCCGUGUAGUCCAGGGUGUAAACGCUGCAGACUUGGUGUUGGAGGCCCUUUGGGGGCAUUCAGUGCCGGAGAGAAGUUGUUAAGUCUGCUACUUGGGGAGUACGUCCGCAAGGAUGAAACUUAAAGGAAUUGGCGGGGGAGCACCGCAACGGGAGGAGCGUGCGGUUUAAUUGGAUUCAACACCGUAAACUCACCAGGGAAGACUGUUACAUGAAGGCCGAGAUGAAGACUCUGCUAGAUUUUCAG
RNAcentral lists this ribosomal RNA (267 nucleotides) under uncultured archaeon. Its description in RNAcentral is "partial 16S ribosomal RNA". It matches the Rfam family "Archaeal small subunit ribosomal RNA", at positions 712 to 982 of the family's 1478-position model. The record is from RNAcentral.